ACGAACGCUGGCGGCGUGCCUAAUACAUGCAAGUCGAGCGGAAUGAUGAAGAAGCUUGCUUCUUCUGAUUUUAGCGGCGGACGGGUGAGUAACACGUGGGCAACCUACCUUGUAGAUUGGGAUAACUCCGGGAAACCGGGGCUAAUACCGAAUAAUCCAUUUUGCUUCAUGGCGAGAUGUUGAAAGACGGUUUCGGCUGUCACUACGAGAUGGGCCCGCGGCGCAUUAGCUAGUUGGUAGGGUAAUGGCCUACCAAGGCGACGAUGCGUAGCCGACCUGAGAGGGUGAUCGGCCACACUGGGACUGAGACACGGCCCAGACUCCUACGGGAGGCAGCAGUAGGGAAUCUUCCACAAUGGACGAAAGUCUGAUGGAGCAACGCCGCGUGAGUGAAGAAGGUUUUCGGAUCGUAAAACUCUGUUGUAAGGGAAGAACACGUACGAGAGUAACUGCUCGUACCUUGACGGUACCUUAUUAGAAAGCCACGGCUAGCUACGUG
This 499-nucleotide ribosomal RNA is filed under the name uncultured bacterium. RNAcentral describes it as "bacterial SSU rRNA". It matches the Rfam family "Bacterial small subunit ribosomal RNA", at positions 29 to 507 of the family's 1533-position model. The record is from RNAcentral.